GGAGGGUGCAAGCGUUAAUCGGAAUUACUGGGCGUAAAGCACGCGUAGGCGGAUACUUAAGUCGGAUGUGAAAUCCCCGGGCUCAACCUGGGAACUGCAUUCGAUACAGGGUGUCUAGAGUAUGGUAGAGGAAGGUGGAAUUCCCGGUGUAGCGGUGGAAUGCGUAGAUAUCGGGAGGAACAUCAGUGGCGAAGGCGGCCUUCUGGACCAAUACUGACGCUGAGGCGUGAAAGCGUGGGGAGCAAACAGGGAUUAGAUACCCUGGUAGUCCACGCCGUCAACGAUGAGAACUAGAUGUUGGGGGACUGCGAGUCCCUUAGUAUCGAAGCUAACGCGUUAAGUUCUCGCCUGGGGAUACGGCCGCAAGGCUA
Molecule: ribosomal RNA, 371 nt
Filed under: uncultured organism
Description: partial 16S ribosomal RNA
Rfam family: Bacterial small subunit ribosomal RNA
Source: RNAcentral